Molecule: ribosomal RNA, 301 nt
Filed under: uncultured bacterium
Lineage: Bacteria
Description: partial 16S ribosomal RNA
Rfam family: Bacterial small subunit ribosomal RNA
Source: RNAcentral
CAGCAGCCACGGUAAUACGUAGGGUGCGAGCGUUAAUCGGAAUUACUGGGCGUAAAGCGUGCGCAGGCGGUUAUAUAAGACAGAUGUGAAAUCCCCGGGCUCAACCUGGGACCUGCAUUUGUGACUGUAUAGCUAGAGUACGGUAGAGGGGGAUGGAAUUCCGCGUGUAGCAGUAAAAUGCGUAGAUAUGCGGAGGAACACCGAUGGCGAAGGCAAUCCCCUGGACCUGUACUGACGCUCAUGCACGAAAGCGUGGGGAGCAAACAGGAUUAGAUACCCGUGUAGUCCCUGUCUCUUAUAC